GCCAGCAGCCAUAUCACCCUGCAACUCACAACUAGCAACCAACUGAAGCUAAGCAGGUGUGAGCCUGGUCAGUACCUGGCUGGGAGACCCCCUGGGAAAAACUAAGGUUGCUGCUGGAA
Lepisosteus oculatus (spotted gar) is the source of this 119-nucleotide ribosomal RNA. Lineage: Eukaryota; Metazoa; Chordata; Actinopteri; Semionotiformes; Lepisosteidae. The record is from Ensembl.